CUGCCAUUUUCCUUGAUUUUCUGCAAUGUUCUGUGAAAUACGGGUGCUAGAAUUGUCCAGAAUUCUUUGUACAACGCUGUUGGAAAGCCGUCUGGACCUGGAGCCUUAUUAUUGGGCAUACUUAUCAGGGCUUCCUGGAGUUCACCUAGUGUCAGCGGUGAAUUCAGUGCCAUUGCUUGACUGUCUUGUAAUUUUGGAAGGAUUACAUUAUCAAGAAACUGAUCAGUUUUGUUUUUAGAUGGGUUUAUUUGUGGUGGAUCUCAGCUGCUAUGUGGGCCUUGAGCUCACCUCCCCACAGGACUGGCUUGCAUACACCUACAUGGAAGCUGGAGGGGCAGUGGGGUGCAUAAGGUGGCUCCAACAUGUGUCCAGCUCCAGGGCCUUGCUGUCCCAGCUGAGGUCGUCUCCUACAGCUGCAAAAAGAAAAUGGCUCUUGGCUCGUUCAAUGGGGAUCAAGCUGCCCUUAUUCUUCUCUUCAAG
Pelmatolapia mariae (spotted tilapia) is the source of this 480-nucleotide long non-coding RNA. RefSeq lists it as uncharacterized. The record is from RefSeq and is a predicted model, not a curated record. The transcript is spliced from 3 exons. Lineage: Eukaryota; Metazoa; Chordata; Actinopteri; Cichliformes; Cichlidae.